RNAcentral lists this transfer RNA (71 nucleotides) under Ourebia ourebi (oribi). Its description in RNAcentral is "tRNA-His". It matches the Rfam family "tRNA". Rfam says of the family: Transfer RNA (tRNA) molecules are approximately 80 nucleotides in length. Their secondary structure includes four short double-helical elements and three loops (D, anti-codon, and T loops). Further hydrogen bonds mediate the characteristic L-shaped molecular structure. tRNAs have two regions of fundamental functional importance: the anti-codon, which is responsible for specific mRNA codon recognition, and the 3' end, to which the tRNAs corresponding amino acid is attached (by aminoacyl-tRNA synthetases). tRNAs cope with the degeneracy of the genetic code in two manners: having more than one tRNA (with a specific anti-codon) for a particular amino acid; and 'wobble' base-pairing, i.e. permitting non-standard base-pairing at the 3rd anti-codon position. Lineage: Eukaryota; Metazoa; Chordata; Mammalia; Artiodactyla; Bovidae. The record is from RNAcentral.
GUAAAUAUAGUUUUAAGAAAAACAUUAGAUUGUGAAUCUAAUAAUAGAAGCCCGCUAUCUUCUUAUUUACC